GUUGGAACUGGUUAGAGAGAUGGAUGGCAGUACGCCCAUGGGAAAAUCGUUUUCUAGACCUUAAUGUCAGAGAUGGAGUCAUGCCUAAUGAAAAUGAAUCAGCUGAUCCUGUAAACGGGAUGAAGAACCAGGUAAAAUUUGCUGGGAAGAAACCAGCAACUACAAAACCAGCAACUACAACUCUUUCAAAUGAUAGAGUGGGUCCAUCUCAUUCAAGCAGUAACUCAAAAUCAAAUGAAAAGGCAGCAGCAUCGCUCUCUGAUGGUUGCAGUUCUUCCCCAAAUGUGUCAGCAAG
RNAcentral lists this unclassified non-coding RNA (295 nucleotides) under Hevea brasiliensis (rubber tree). The record is from RNAcentral. Lineage: Eukaryota; Viridiplantae; Streptophyta; Magnoliopsida; Malpighiales; Euphorbiaceae.